This 453-nucleotide ribosomal RNA is filed under the name uncultured bacterium. Its description in RNAcentral is "bacterial SSU rRNA". It matches the Rfam family "Bacterial small subunit ribosomal RNA", at positions 340 to 786 of the family's 1533-position model. The record is from RNAcentral.
UACGGGAGGCAGCAGUGGGGAAUAUUGCACAAUGGGCGCAAGCCUGAUGUAGCCAUGCCGCGUGUAUGAAAAAGGCCUUCGGGUUGUAAAGUACUUUCAGCCGUGAGGAAGGUGUUAAGGUUAAUAACCUUAGCAAUUGACGUUAGCGACAGAAGAAGCACCGGCUAACUCCGUGCCAGCAGCCGCGGUAAUACGGAGGGUGCGAGCGUUAAUCGGAAUUACUGGGCGUAAAGGGCACGCAGGCGGUUAAUUAAGUUGGAUGUGAAAUCCCCGGGCUUAACCUGGGAAUGGCAUUCAAGACUGGUUAGCUAGAGUCUUGUAGAGGGGGUAGAAUUCCAUGUGUAGCGGUGAAAUGCGUAGAGAUGUGGAGGAAUACCGGUGGCGAAGGCGGCCCCUGGACAAAGACUGACGCUCAUGUGCGAAAGCGUGGGGAGCAAACAGGGAUUAGAUACC